GGGGAUGUGGCUCAGUGAUAAAGUGCUUGCUUCAGAUGCAUGAAGCCCUGGGUUCAAUCCCUUGCACCACCA
Molecule: transfer RNA, 72 nt
Filed under: Ictidomys tridecemlineatus (thirteen-lined ground squirrel)
Lineage: Eukaryota; Metazoa; Chordata; Mammalia; Rodentia; Sciuridae
Description: Spermophilus tridecemlineatus (thirteen-lined ground squirrel) tRNA
Rfam family: tRNA
About the family: Transfer RNA (tRNA) molecules are approximately 80 nucleotides in length.
Source: Rfam by way of RNAcentral